UUUGCAUUUCUUAUUAAUUAAGGGCGAAGCCAAACGAGCGUAAAUUGUGAGUCGUGAGCCGCAGAAUUCCUGCCGGGCAGAAUUUUUUUCAUACAAAUCACGACUCACAAAAUUACGCUCGUGUGAAUCAAACAGGACUUUUGUAUGAAACUGAAU
Long non-coding RNA from Aricia agestis (brown argus), 156 nucleotides. RefSeq lists it as uncharacterized. The record is from RefSeq and is a predicted model, not a curated record. NCBI's taxonomy places the organism in Eukaryota, Metazoa, Arthropoda, Insecta, Lepidoptera, Lycaenidae. The transcript has 3 exons.